Non-coding RNA from Phascolarctos cinereus (koala), 4149 nucleotides. NCBI's taxonomy places the organism in Eukaryota, Metazoa, Chordata, Mammalia, Diprotodontia, Phascolarctidae. The record is from RefSeq and is a predicted model, not a curated record.
CGAGAGAGAGGGCGAGAGAGAGAGGGAGAGGGAGUGAGAGAGUGAGAGAGCGAGAAAGAAUAAAAGGAAAGAAGAUUUUCUCUAUGUAUAUAAAGAUGGCUACGUUAGCAAACGGACAGGCUGACAAUACGAGCCUCAGUAACAACAGUCACGGCAGCCCGGGCAGUAACGGGCACAUGAACGGAUUAAACCAUAGCCCGGGGAACCCGUCUACCAUUCCCAUGAAGGACCAUGAUGCCAUCAAGCUGUUCAUUGGGCAGAUCCCCCGAAACCUGGACGAGAAAGACCUCAAGCCCCUCUUCGAGGAGUUUGGCAAGAUCUACGAGCUGACGGUUCUGAAGGACAGGUUCACUGGCAUGCACAAAGGCUGUGCCUUCCUCACAUACUGCGAGCGGGAAUCAGCCCUGAAGGCCCAGAGUGCACUGCACGAACAGAAGACAUUGCCCGGGAUGAACAGGCCCAUCCAGGUGAAGCCUGCGGACAGCGAGAGCCGAGGAGGUCAUGACUAUGGACGUGAAAGGAGGACGAGGGAAGUAAAUAGCUGGCUAUAUAGAUGGUGUCAAAGAACAGGAUUUGUUUUUCUGGAUCAUUGCCAUGGAAACCAGAAAGAAGACAGAAAACUCUUUGUUGGCAUGCUCAACAAGCAGCAAUCUGAGGAUGAUGUCCGCCGGCUCUUUGAGGCCUUCGGAAACAUUGAAGAAUGCACUAUCCUCCGGGGACCAGAUGGCAACAGCAAAGGGUGUGCCUUCGUGAAAUAUUCCUCCCAUGCUGAGGCCCAAGCUGCCAUUAAUGCCCUGCACGGCAGCCAGACCAUGCCGGGAGCUUCAUCCAGCCUGGUCGUCAAGUUUGCAGACACGGACAAGGAGCGCACAAUGAGGCGGAUGCAGCAAAUGGCGGGCCAGAUGGGCAUGUUCAACCCCAUGGCCAUCCAGUUCGGGGCAUAUGGAGCCUAUGCACAGGCACUGAUGCAGCAGCAGGCGGCCAUCAUGGCAUCCGUAGCACAGGGAGGCUACCUGAACCCCAUGGCAGCCUUCGCCGCAGCCCAGAUGCAGCAGAUGGCAGCACUCAACAUGAAUGGCCUCGCGGCCGCCCCCAUGACCCCAACCUCAGGUGGUAGUACCCCUCCGGGCAUCACUGCACCAGCUGUGCCUAGCAUCCCAUCCCCAAUUGGGGUGAACGGAUUUACUGGCCUUCCCCCACAAGCUAAUGGGCAGCCUGCAGCUGAAGCCGUGUUUGCCAAUGGAAUCCACCCAUACCCAGCACAGAGCCCCACGGCGGCCGACCCCCUGCAGCAGGCCUACGCAGGAGUGCAGCAGUAUGCAGGUCCCGCUUACCCUGCUGCCUAUGGUCAGAUAAGCCAAGCGUUCCCUCAGCCGCCUCCAAUGAUCCCACAGCAACAGAGAGAAGGGCCAGAGGGCUGUAACCUGUUCAUCUACCAUCUGCCCCAGGAGUUUGGGGAUGCUGAGCUGAUGCAGAUGUUCCUCCCUUUCGGUAAUGUCAUCUCCUCGAAAGUGUUUGUGGAUCGGGCGACUAACCAAAGUAAAUGCUUUGGCUUCGUGAGCUUCGACAACCCGGCCAGCGCGCAGACGGCCAUUCAGGCCAUGAACGGCUUCCAGAUCGGCAUGAAGCGGCUCAAGGUGCAGCUCAAGCGGCCGAAAGACGCCAAUCGCCCCUACUGAGCGCCGGCGGGAGCGUCCCCCGGGGGAAACCAGGACUCGCACAGGGCCAGUCAAAUCCACCACAGUCUCGCGCUGAGCUAGGAAUAAAGUUCACGUAAUCACAUGAGAGUGGAGAAUACAGUCCCCCAUCCGGCAGGAUGCUGAAUGGGCUACAUUAAAAAAAACAAACCUAUAUAUAUAUAUAUAUAAAUGAGAACUGUUGGAUGACACCUUUGACAUAUCAGCCAAUAUCAAUAUCAAUCAAGCUGAAGACUCCAGACACUCUCUUUGACUGUAACAUUUCUUCAAGAAAAGGAUCUCGUCUAUGGAGUUCAGAGGAUAUGCACUUGGAGAAAAAAUAUACAUAUGAUUAAAGAAGAUGAUGAAGAAGAAAAAAACAAACAUAAAUAUACACAAAAGGAAACUAACUUUAAAAAAUAAAACAAAAAUAGACCAGACAAGGAGGAUGAAAGGCCAGAAAUUGGGAAGAGAUGCUGGUUAUGAAUCCAUGGGCUUUUUCUGCCAAUGGUGCCUCCUUGGGUGAGGCAGGCUGGAUGCCAGCCAUUGGGCAAGGCGGGGCAUAGUCCCCGGGAGUGGCCAAAAUAGUGGCCACUGAGCAUCUGUAUCUGUCAUUCCUUUAGCUAUUUAGGGACCAAAGGACCAAACUUUUUAUUGCAGACGUGUAGCUCUAUGUCAAAUAGAGGGGGAGUGGGGGGGGAACAAGCCUCCUUCCUGCCUCAGGGCUGUUCCCAAAGCAGCCGAGAAUGAUUCUAAGAAAUAUGUAAUAAAAAAAUACAAAAAAGCAAACAAAAAAAAAAACAAAAAAGAAACAAAAAAAGAAAAAAAUCUGCUUCAAUGCUUUUAAACAGGCAAGAUAAUAGUUCUUUGAUACUAUGAGAGGCGCUUUGAUGACCUUUAUUCGAGUCUAUGAACCUUUCCUAUGGUUUUCUGUAUCGUAUGGAUGGAUGGAGCUUUUAAGACAAGCAAGAUGGAUAUUUGGAGAAAGCAAAAUUAAAAAAAAAACAAUCUAUAAAUAUCCUUGAGAUGGAAGGAAACCAAGUAGGGAAAUAAAUAAGGGAUAUAUACAAGGAAAGAUAGUUGUUGUGAAAAGUCUGUAAAUGCUUCUAACUCUAACCCCUACCCCUUUUAAAAUCCUAAUAGUUGUACAGAAUUAAAAAAAAAAGAAAAGUUUAAAAUACCUAUAUAAUAGAAGAAAAAUUAGAGGAAAGAAAAAAAGCAAAAAAAAAAACCUAUAGAAGUUAGCGUUCCUGCUAAAAAUCCAAGAUGUUGUAGAACUGUAACUUUUGUAGAGUUUAGACUGAGCAUCAAUCCCCCUUCUCUCUGCCAAUCGCUGUUGGACGCUGUUAUUUGCUGAGGGGGACCCUGGGCCACUCCUUUCCGAAACUGCGAGCAUUCCAGCUUCGUCCAGCCGAUGAAUUGAAAGUCACUCAGUUCUCGCUAACCUGAUGGACAGACAGAUGGACGGAGGCCGCCAGGUGGCAUGGGGGAAGCGACGCAAGGAAGUCCGGGUUGUCUCUGUCUCUGACCUCUUCCUCACCUUGAGACCCACAGCUAUAGACUAAAUGCUUUGCUCCCCCAAGGAGCUGCUCUCUCUGCAAGCCCUAACCACCUUCUGCUUCAAUAGCUUCCAUGCUCACUCUAGAGACUUUCAGGGCAAGGGAGAACUGGGAACUUUCAUCUUAAAAUGACACAAACAAAAACCUUAAAAAACAAAAACAAAAAAAAGAAAGAAAAACACAAUCUUUGAAGAAUUUCUGAAACUGUUUACAAGGAAUUUUGAAAAACAGGGAUGUUUAAAAUGAUGCCGGCUCUGUUUUUCUGUAAAUAAAUUUGCAUAUUUUGUAGGACUUUUAAUUGUAAUGAUAGAGAAAAAACAAGGAAAACUAUUUAAUGAAAGCACGAUAUUUAUCUUUGGUAAAUGACUUUAGAGCAGUUAAAAAGACAUUGAUUAAAAACUCAGAAUCAGAAAAAAACACUGAAUUAUUUAAGAACACAUAUAUUUUAAAGUAUAUCAUAUUUAUUAUAAUUUAUUUCCACCAUUAGGAAGACUUACUUUGGCAUUCUGCCUUGACUCCCCCCUUGCUUGAGUACAGGCCACCUGGUGUGGUGGGGGGAUGGCGGUUUCUUCUCCAACUCUCCUGUUUUUUCUGUACUUUUUGGUUUAGAAGAUCAAGUUUCUCCUUUUCCUCUCAGGCCUCUUUCCUUUCUAUUUCAGUUGGUUUGUUUGUGGGUUUUUUUUGUUUGUUUUUUGUUUGUUUUUACUUUCCUCUCUCUGCUUUGGCUCCUCCUCUUUGGAAGUCCAGAUGUAAAAAAAAAACAGCUGCAGUUUGGUACAACUGCUCUUUUCACUCUCAAUUCCCUAAAACUCCUUGUAACCUUCUGUAACUAUUGGAUGACGCUUUCUCCAGCUUAGCCCUAAAUAAAGCACAGUUUAAAAAAAUAAAUAAAGCAAAACAGGAUCCUUCUUCAA